This 497-nucleotide ribosomal RNA is filed under the name uncultured bacterium. Its description in RNAcentral is "partial 16S ribosomal RNA". It matches the Rfam family "Bacterial small subunit ribosomal RNA", at positions 28 to 507 of the family's 1533-position model. The record is from RNAcentral.
GAUGAACGCUGGCGGCGUGCCUAAUACAUGCAAGUCGAGCGAACAGAUAAGGAGCUUGCUCCUUUGACGUUAGCGGCGGACGGGUGAGUAACACGUGGGUAACCUACCUAUAAGACUGGAAUAACUCCGGGAAACCGGGGCUAAUGCCGUAUAACAUUUAGAACCGCAUGGUUCUAAAGUGAAAGAUGGUUUUGCUAUCACUUAUAGAUGGACCCGCGCCGUAUUAGCUAGUUGGUAAGGUAACGGCUUACCAAGGCAACGAGACGUAGCCGACCUGAGAGGGUGGUCGGCCACACUGGAACUGAGCCAGGGUCCAGACUCCUGCGGGAGGCAGCAGUAGGGAAUCUUCCGCAAUGGGCGAGAGCCUGACGGAGCAACGCCGCGUGAGUGAUGAAGGUCUUCGGAUCGUAAAACUCUGUUAUUAGGUAAGAACAAAUGUGUAAUUAACUGUGCACGUCUUGACGGUACCUAAUCAGAAAGCCCCGGCUAACUACGUG